RNAcentral lists this long non-coding RNA (232 nucleotides) under Homo sapiens (human). Its description in RNAcentral is "HSALNT0396087". The stretch from base 157 to 232 matches the Rfam family "mir-199 microRNA precursor family". The record is from RNAcentral. Lineage: Eukaryota; Metazoa; Chordata; Mammalia; Primates; Hominidae.
AGAUGCGAGCCGGCCCCAGCCUUGCCACGUCAGAAGGGACAGAGCGGAUCGUCUCGGGAAGAGUGGUGGUUUCCUUGGCUGCUCAGAGGUGCUGAGGCACGGCCUGGCCUGGUGGCCCCAGCGUCUGCCUGGGGGGUUCUGCAGGAUGGAUAGCCGGCCCCGCCAACCCAGUGUUCAGACUACCUGUUCAGGAGGCUCUCAAUGUGUACAGUAGUCUGCACAUUGGUUAGGC